AUCCUACGGGAGGCUGCAGUGGGGAAUAUUGGACAAUGGGGGGAACCCUGAUCCAGCCAUGCUGCGUGUGUGAAGAAGGCCUUUUGGUUGUAAAGCACUUUAAGUGGGGAGGAGGCUCUCUUGGUUAAUACCUAAGAAGAGUGGACGUUACCCACAGAAUAAGCACCGGCUAACUCUGUGCCAGCAGCCGCGGUAAUACAGAGGGUGCGAGCGUUAAUCGGAUUUACUGGGCGUAAAGCGCGCGUAGGUGGUUAAUUAAGUCAAAUGUGAAAUCCCCGAGCUUAACUUGGGAAUUGCAUUCGAUACUGGUUAGCUAGAGUAUGGGAGAGGAUGGUAGAAUUCCAGGUGUAGCGGUGAAAUGCGUAGAGAUCUGGAGGAAUACCGAUGGCGAAGGCAGCCAUCUGGCCUAAUACUGACACUGAGGUGCGAAAGCAUGGGGAGCAAACAGGAUUAGAUACCCUGGUAGUC
This 468-nucleotide ribosomal RNA is filed under the name uncultured Acinetobacter sp. Its description in RNAcentral is "bacterial SSU rRNA". It matches the Rfam family "Bacterial small subunit ribosomal RNA", at positions 335 to 795 of the family's 1533-position model. The record is from RNAcentral. Lineage: Bacteria; Pseudomonadati; Pseudomonadota; Gammaproteobacteria; Moraxellales; Moraxellaceae.